Manacus vitellinus (golden-collared manakin) is the source of this 274-nucleotide long non-coding RNA. RefSeq lists it as uncharacterized. Lineage: Eukaryota; Metazoa; Chordata; Aves; Passeriformes; Pipridae. The record is from RefSeq and is a predicted model, not a curated record. The transcript is spliced from 3 exons.
UUUACCACACUCCAAAUGCUAUUCCUGAUUCAUCCUUUCAGAAAUAUGCACAAAUCCCACAGCACUGAUGCUUUUAUGCUUAAAGAGGGCACAGUAUUUCCUCACUUUCCUCCUCUGCUGCCACCACGUGGACAUAUCUCAGUGUUCAUUAAGUUUUUCACAGGACAAUAGCCCUGCCUCCAUAGAUCACAAGUGAUCCUGUAUACUAAGGAGAAAUCCAGGACACACAACUGUUUGGAAUUGCCAUAAUUUUCACCAUCAAAAUCCUUGUUGC